This is a long non-coding RNA of Solanum tuberosum (potato), 160 nucleotides long. RefSeq lists it as uncharacterized. The transcript has 2 exons. The record is from RefSeq and is a predicted model, not a curated record. NCBI's taxonomy places the organism in Eukaryota, Viridiplantae, Streptophyta, Magnoliopsida, Solanales, Solanaceae.
AUGGAAGGAUGGAAACUUGCAAAAUUCACGAUCUUCUUCGCCAAUUAUGCCUAAGAGAAGCUCAUACUGAAAAUGUUGUGCAUAUCACAGUUGAAGUUGCUUAAGGUGUUGGACGUGUUAUCAGUCCGAAACAGAUUAUGCUUCCAGAUAGCAUUUUGAA